RNAcentral lists this ribosomal RNA (489 nucleotides) under uncultured bacterium. Its description in RNAcentral is "partial 16S ribosomal RNA". It matches the Rfam family "Bacterial small subunit ribosomal RNA", at positions 30 to 506 of the family's 1533-position model. The record is from RNAcentral.
AUUGAACGCUGGCGGCAGGCCUAACACAUGCAAGUCGAACGGUAACAGGAAACAGCUUGCUGUUUCGCUGACGAGUGGCGGACGGGUGAGUAAUGUCUGGGAAACUGCCUGAUGGAGGGGGAUAACUACUGGAAACGGUAGCUAAUACCGCAUAACGUCGCAAGACCAAAGAGGGGGACCUUCGGGCCUCUUGCCAUCGGAUGUGCCCAGAUGGGAUUAUCUAGUAGGUGGGGUAACGGCUCACCUAGGCGACGAUCGCUAGCUGGUCUGAGAGGAUGACCAGCCACACUGGAACUGAGAGACGGUCCAGACUCCUACGGGAGGCAGCAGUGGGGAAGAUUGCAAAAUGGGCGCAAGCCUGAUGCAGCCAUGCAGGGUGUAUGAAGAAGGCCUUCGGGUGGGAAAGUACUUUCAGCGGGGAGGAAGGGAGUAAAGUGAAUACCUUUGCUCAUUGACGUUACCCGCAGAAGAAGCACGGGCUAACUCCGU